CAAGUCCUCCCAGUCAGUGGUCAGCACAGAACACAGGCCACUCACCAUGGACUUUAGGCUCAUAAUGGUUUUCUUUGUCCUUAUUUUAAAAGUUAUCCAGUGUGAAGUGCAGUUGUCGGAGUCUGGCAGAGGCUUAGUGCAACCAGGAAAGUCCAUGAAACUCUUCUGUGCAGCCUCUGGAUUCUCGUUCAGUAGUACAGCAAUGGGCUGGGUCCGCCAGGCUCCUGGGAAGGGGCUGGAGUGGGUCGCAACCAUUAUUUAUGAUGGUACUAUCACCUACUAUACAAACGCUGUGAAGGGCCGGUUCACAAUCUCCAGAGACAAUGCCAAGAACACUCUGUACCUGGAAAUGAGCAGUUUGAGAUCUGAAGACACGGGCAUAUAUUACUGUACAAGAGACACAGUGAGUGAAUGUUACUGUGGACUCAGACAAAAACACACCUGUGGAGAACCCAGAACCAGCAGAGGGCGCCAAGAGCACUCACAGAAAAGCCUGCACAGAGAAACAUGA
Non-coding RNA from Myodes glareolus (Bank vole), 511 nucleotides. The record is from the annotation of a RefSeq genome assembly. NCBI's taxonomy places the organism in Eukaryota, Metazoa, Chordata, Mammalia, Rodentia, Cricetidae.